AUUGAACGCUGGCGGAAUGCUUUACACAUGCAAGUCGAGCGGCAGCACGGGGGCAACCCUGGUGGCGAGCGGCGAACGGGUGAGUAAUACAUCGGAACAUGCCCAGUCGUGGGGGAUAACACUUCGAAAGAAGUGCUAAUACCGCAUACGUCCUGAGGGGGAAAGCGGGGGAUCGCAAGACCUCGCGCGAUUGGAGUGGCCGAUGUCAGAUUAGCUAGUUGGUGGGGUAAAGGCCUACCAAGGCAACGAUCUGUAGCUGGUCUGAGAGGAUGAUCAGCCACACUGGGACUGAGACACGGCCCAGACUCCUACGGGAGGCAGCAGUGGGGAAUUUUGGACAAUGGGGGCAACCCUGAUCCAGCCAUUCCGCGUGAGUGAAGAAGGCCUUCGGGUUGUAAAGCUCUUUCGGCAGGAAAGAAACGGUGAGCUCUAACAUAGCUUGCUAAUGACGGUACCUGAAGAAGAAGCACCGGCUAACUACGUG
RNAcentral lists this ribosomal RNA (484 nucleotides) under uncultured bacterium. Its description in RNAcentral is "partial 16S ribosomal RNA". It matches the Rfam family "Bacterial small subunit ribosomal RNA", at positions 30 to 507 of the family's 1533-position model. The record is from RNAcentral.